UACGUAGGUCCCGAGCGUUGUCCGGAUUUAUUGGGCGUAAAGCGAGCGCAGGUGGUUUAUUAAGUCUGGUGUAAAAGGCAGUGGCUCAACCAUUGUAUGCAUUGGAAACUGGUAGACUUGAGUGCAGGAGAGGAGAGUGGAAUUCCCGGUGUAGCGGUGGAAUGCGCAGAUAUCGGGAAGAACACCGAUGGCGAAGGCAGCUCUCUGGGCCGUCACUGACGCUGAGGCGCGAAAGCUGGGGGAGCGAACAGG
Molecule: ribosomal RNA, 252 nt
Filed under: uncultured bacterium
Lineage: Bacteria
Description: partial 16S ribosomal RNA
Rfam family: Bacterial small subunit ribosomal RNA
Source: RNAcentral